RNAcentral lists this ribosomal RNA (465 nucleotides) under uncultured bacterium. RNAcentral describes it as "partial 16S ribosomal RNA". It matches the Rfam family "Bacterial small subunit ribosomal RNA", at positions 28 to 507 of the family's 1533-position model. The record is from RNAcentral.
GACGAACGCUGGCGGCGUGCUUAACACAUGCAAGUCGAACGGAAAGGCCCUGCUUGCAGGGUACUCGAGUGGCGAACGGGUGAGUAACACGUGGGUGAUCUGCCCUGCACUUCGGGAUAAGCCUGGGAAACUGGGUCUAAUACCGGAUAGGAGCCAUUUUUAGUGUGAUGGUUGGAAAGUUUUUUCGGUGUAGGAUGAGCUCGCGGCCUAUCAGCUUGUUGGUGGGGUAAUAGCCUACCAAGGCGGCGACGGGUAGCCGGCCUGAGAGGGUGGACGGCCACAUUGGGACUGAGAUACGGCCCAGACUCCUACGGGAGGCAGCAGUGGGGAAUAUUGCACAAUGGGCGCAAGCCUGAUGCAGCGACGCCGCGGGGGGGAUGACGGCCUUCGGGUUGUAAACUCCUUUCGCUAGGGACGAAGCUUUUUGUGACGGUACCUAGAUAAGAAGCACCGGCUAACUACGUG